RNAcentral lists this unclassified non-coding RNA (240 nucleotides) under soil metagenome. Its description in RNAcentral is "partial contains 5.8S ribosomal RNA, internal transcribed spacer 2, and large subunit ribosomal RNA". The record is from RNAcentral.
AACGCACGAGACCUGCGGACCUGCGGAAGGAUCAUUACCGAGUUUACAACUCCCAAACCCAAUGUGAACCAUACCAAACUGUUGCCUCGGCGGGGUCACGCCCCGGGUGCGUCGCAGCCCCGGAACCAGGCGCCCGCCGGAGGGACCAACCAAACUCUUUCUGUAGUCCCCUCGCGGACGUUAUUUCUUACAGCUCUGAGCAAAAAUUCAAAAUGAAUCAAAACUUUUAACAACGGAUCU